Non-coding RNA from Suillus ampliporus, 92 nucleotides. The record is from the annotation of a GenBank genome assembly. Lineage: Eukaryota; Fungi; Basidiomycota; Agaricomycetes; Boletales; Suillaceae.
GAACCCGUGGCGCAGUGGUAGCGCGUAUGAUUCCAGAUGACCUUCGAGUCAUGGCAUCCAUAAGGUCAUCCGUUCAAUCCGGGUCGGGUUCA